This 365-nucleotide long non-coding RNA is filed under the name Linum usitatissimum (flax). RNAcentral describes it as "long non-coding RNA (LUSI_LNC001290)". The record is from RNAcentral. Lineage: Eukaryota; Viridiplantae; Streptophyta; Magnoliopsida; Malpighiales; Linaceae.
UCAAGGUUCUUUUCAAGUAACUUGGCCUUCUUUAACCGCGCCAUUGCCUCGGCAGUGUUACCUGCCCGUUUCUGACUCAGUGCUUCCCGUUUGAGGGAGAGAAUCUCAUUCUGCAUCGCUUCCCUAUCGUCAAAGACUGGUUCCUGUCCAACAUCAGAAUCAUCUGCCCAGCCUAAUGACUUUAGAGUAGCAGCCAUUUCCGGGUCAACGAGAUCAUCGUCUGUAACUUCAACGUUAAUAUCAAAUCCCACACCAUCAUCGAGAUUACCAAAAUUGAAAUCGAGUCCUCCUGACUGCAUGUAACCAGAGAGCAUAUCUUCUUCUUUCCCACCAUCCAUGCCACGGAUUAAUGCAGCUAUCUCAUC